RNAcentral lists this small RNA (35 nucleotides) under Proboscia alata. Its description in RNAcentral is "partial Mitochondrion-encoded tmRNA". Lineage: Eukaryota; Bacillariophyta; Melosirophyceae; Probosciales; Probosciaceae. The record is from RNAcentral. RNAcentral also lists the same sequence under 1 other name.
AGUUCUUGAUAUAUCCAUCUAAAAUAAAUAAAAUG